RNAcentral lists this ribosomal RNA (1437 nucleotides) under uncultured bacterium. RNAcentral describes it as "16S ribosomal RNA". It matches the Rfam family "Bacterial small subunit ribosomal RNA". The record is from RNAcentral.
AGGGUUUGAUCAUGGCUCAGAACGUACGCUGGCGGCACGCCUAACACAUGCAAGUCGAACGAAGUAGCAAUACUUAGUGGCAGACGGGUGAGUAACAUGUAGGUAUCUGCCCUUUGGCCUGGAAUAACACGAGGAAACUUGUGCUAAUACCGGAUAAGUCUUUACGGAGAAAGCUUUAUGCACCAUUGGAUGAGCCUGCACUUGAUUAGUUUGUUGGUGGGGUAAUGGCCUACCAAGACUGUGAUCAAUAGCUGAUUUGAGAGGAUGAUCAGCCACAUUGGGACUGAGACACGGCCCAAACUCCUACGGGAGGCAGCAGUGGGGAAUCUUGCACAAUGGAGGAAACUCUGAUGCAGCGAUGCCGCGUGAGUGAAGAAGGCCUUUGGGUUGUAAAGCUCUUUCGUCGGGGAAGAAAAUGACUGUACCCGAAUAAGAAGGUCCGGCUAACUUCGUGCCAGCAGCCGCGGUAAUACGAAGGGACCUAGCGUAGUUCGGAAUUACUGGGCUUAAAGAGUUCGUAGGUGGUUGAAAAAGUUAGUGGUGAAAUCCCAGAGCUUAACUCUGGAACUGCCAUUAAAACUUUUCAGCUAGAGUAUGAUAGAGGAAAGCAGAAUUUCUAGUGUAGAGGUGAAAUUCGUAGAUAUUAGAAAGAAUACCAAUUGCGAAGGCAGCUUUCUGGAUCAUUACUGACACUGAGGAACGAAAGCAUGGGUAGCGAAGAGGAUUAGAUACCCUCGUAGUCCAUGCCGUAAACGAUGUGUGUUAGACGUUGGAAAUUUAUUUUCAGUGUCGCAGCGAAAGCGAUAAACACACCGCCUGGGGAGUACGGUCGCAAGAUUAAAACUCAAAGGAAUUGACGGGGGCCCGCACAAGCGGUGGAUUAUGUGGAUUAAUUCGAUGCAACGCGAAAAACCUUACCUGGCCUUGACAUGUACCGAAUUUAGCAGAGAUGCUUUAGUGCUCGUAAGAGAACGGUAACACAGGUGCUGCAUGGCUGUCGUCAGCUCGUGUCGUGAGAUGUUGGGUUAAGUCCCGCAACGAGCGCAACCCUCACUUUUAGUUGCCAUCAUUAAGUUGGGCACUCUGAAAGAACUGCCAGUGAUAAGCUGGAGGAAGGUGGGGAUGACGUCAAGUCCUCAUGGCCCUUACGUGUUGGGCUACACACGUGCUACAAUGGUAUCUACAACAGGAAGCAAGACUGAGAAGUUAAGCAAAUCCCUAAAAGAUACCUCAGUUCGGAUUGCACUCUGCAACUCGAGUGCAUGAAGCUGGAAUUACUAGUAAUCGUGGAUCAGCGUGCCACGGUGAAUGCGUUCCCGGGUCUUGUACACACCGCCCGUCACACCAUGGGAGUUGGUUCUACCUUAAGGCAAGGUUUCAAACCCUUGACCACGGUAUAGUCAGCGACUGGGGUGAAGUCAUAACAAGGUAGCCGUA